CCUACGGGAGGCAGCAGUGGGGAAUAUUGCACAAUGGGGGAAACUCUGAUGCAGCGACGCCGCGUGAGUGAAGAAGUUUUUAGGUAUGUAAAGCUCUAUUAGUAGGGAAGAAAAAGACGGUACCUGAUUAUGAAGCCCCGGCUAACUACGUGCCAGCAGCCGCGGUAAUACGUAGGGGGCAAGCGUUAUCCGGAUUUACUGGGUGUAAAGGGGGCGUAGGCGGCAGCACAAGUCUGGAGUGAAAUGCCGGGGCUUAACCCCGGAACUGCUUUGGAAACUGUGCAGCUAGAGUGCAGGAGAGGUAAGUGGAAUUCCUAGUGUAGCGGUGAAAUGCGUAGAUAUUAGGAGGAACACCAGUGGCGAAGGCGGCUUACUGGACUGUAACUGACGUUGAGGCUCGAAAGCGUGGGGAGCAAACAGGAUUAGAUACCCCGGUAGUC
Molecule: ribosomal RNA, 440 nt
Filed under: uncultured bacterium
Lineage: Bacteria
Description: partial 16S ribosomal RNA
Rfam family: Bacterial small subunit ribosomal RNA
Source: RNAcentral